This 400-nucleotide unclassified non-coding RNA is filed under the name Hevea brasiliensis (rubber tree). Lineage: Eukaryota; Viridiplantae; Streptophyta; Magnoliopsida; Malpighiales; Euphorbiaceae. The record is from RNAcentral.
GAGAUACUGAAGAAACUUGAAGAAAUUCGAAAUAAGAUCAUUUAAGGAUAUGCUUUUGAAGGUGCCUUUUUGCUUUCGACUUUGAUUAUCUUAUUUUUGGUUCAUUCUGCAUAGUGGUUACUAGUAUUGAAGGAAUGAAACAUAAUCAUGUUCUCAUGACUGUACGAUGCUUUUCCUGUAUUUAUCAGAAAUUAAAAGCUGAAUGGUGUUCAGACUUAGCUUUGUCUUGCCUAUUGUUGUCAAACUUCUUGAUAUCUGAAGGGUGAUGCAUGUGAAUAUUAUCCUCGUAUUGGUGUACAUCAAUAUUCAUUUUUUUUAAUAUAUAUAUGUAUACAUGAAGUGUGGUUAUUUGUGGCUUAUUAAGCACGUGUUUAUGCAUGUGCAGUUCAUAAGCACUCUU